GAUGAACGCUGGCGGCGUGCUUAACACAUGCAAGUCGAACGGAAAGGCUCCUGCUUGCAGGGGUGCUCGAGUGGCGAACGGGUGAGUAACACGUGGGUGAUCUGCCCUGCACUUCGGGAUAAGCCUGGGAAACUGGGGCUAAUACCGGAUAGGACGAUCGGUUGGAUGGCAUGGUGUAAAGUGUUUUCGGUGUGGGAUGGGCUCGCGGGCUAUCAGCUUGUUGGUGGGGGAAUGGCCUACCAAGGCGUUGAAGGGUGUCCCGCCUGUGAGGGUGUACGGCCCAAUUGGGACUGAGAUACCGGCCAGACUCCUACGGGAGGCAGCAGUGGGGGAUAUUGAAACAUGGGCGGAAGCCUGAUGCAGCGACGCCGCGUGGGGGAUGACGGCCUUCGGGUUGGAAACCCCUUUCGCUAGGGAAGAAGCGCAAGUGACGGUAACUGGAGAAGAAGCACCGGCUAACUACGUG
Molecule: ribosomal RNA, 466 nt
Filed under: uncultured bacterium
Lineage: Bacteria
Description: partial 16S ribosomal RNA
Rfam family: Bacterial small subunit ribosomal RNA
Source: RNAcentral